RNAcentral lists this non-coding RNA (43 nucleotides) under Methylobacterium nodulans ORS 2060. Lineage: Bacteria; Pseudomonadati; Pseudomonadota; Alphaproteobacteria; Hyphomicrobiales; Methylobacteriaceae. The record is from RNAcentral.
UGGGGAUGGCGAUCUCCUCACGAGGCUCCGGCCGAAGCAUCGC